Molecule: small nuclear RNA, 54 nt
Gene: U7
Rfam family: U7 small nuclear RNA
About the family: Animal histone pre-mRNAs are spliced by a different mechanism than nuclear pre-mRNAs and self-splicing introns.
Source: Ensembl
AAGAUUUGCUCUUUAGAUAUUUCUCUAGAAGGCUUCUCAUAAUGCGAAGCCCCC